RNAcentral lists this long non-coding RNA (1041 nucleotides) under Equus caballus (horse). RNAcentral's name for it is "lncRNA (ENSECAG00000043423.2)". The record is from RNAcentral. Lineage: Eukaryota; Metazoa; Chordata; Mammalia; Perissodactyla; Equidae.
UAUGCACCCGCCUUAAUUGCUCCGGGCCAGGUACCAGAUAACUAGAGACAGCUGCUAUGCUCCAGCGUCCCGGAAAUUACUCAGAUUAGCCGAUCCAGAGGGAAUCUGAGGAACCCAGCUAACUCCACCUCACUUGCCACACAUAAACUGCCCCCUACAUACAGGUCCAGCCUGUGGGACAUUUUCCAGGUGCAACCCGCUCUGUGGCCCUGAGUGGCAGCCUUCUCUCUUUCAAAGUUGACCAUUUAUCACCAUAGCCUGUAAUAGGUGUAGGAUGGACCCACAGGACUGUGGGAUUUUCUUCCUGGCAGCCCUCAACUAAUACUAGCUUCUGUAGCUAAUAAAUGAAGAUAACUGUACUUGUCUCACACUUGAAACCAAUACUGAAGGUCAUGCAAAAGGCUAUAGAGAAGCAGAUGUAACAGAAAUUGUAACCAGAAAAUUCUCACAGAACAGAUGCCCUUGCAAUUGAAAAGCACUCCCUCUAAUAAUGCUUGGCAUAAUUUUUGUUAGCACUGAUCUAGGCGCUGCCUGAAGGGACUUUGUAGAUGCAAUUAAGAUUACUGUCCUGAAAAUAGAGAAAUCAUCUUGGAUUAUUUGAUGGAACAAAUCUAAUCACUUGAGCCACUAAAAGCAGAGAAAUUUUUCCAGCUGGAAGUGGAGAGAUGCAGCCAAGCGAUGAGGCAGAAGGGGAAAUAGGAGGUUUGAUGCAUGAGAAGUAGUUGAUCCGCUGUUGCUGGCUUUGAAGAAGAGAGACAACAUCCAGGGAAUGUGGAUGGCCUCGAGAAGCUGAAAAUGACCCCCUGGCUAAAGGUCAGGCAAGAAAGGAGAACCUCAGUUUUAUAGAUGCAAGGAACUGAAUUCAGUCAACCCUCUGAAUGAGCUUGGAAGCCAAUUCUUCUCAGAGUGUCCCGAUAAGAACCCAACUAGCCAAGACCAUGUUUUCAUCCCUGUGAAACCAGAAGCAAAGAAACCAGCCUAGUCAACCCAGACUUUCAAUCUAUAGAGCUGCGAAUUAAUAAAUUGGUAUUCUUUUAAGCC